Molecule: unclassified non-coding RNA, 354 nt
Filed under: uncultured Ambisporaceae
Lineage: Eukaryota; Fungi; Glomeromycota; Glomeromycetes; Archaeosporales; Ambisporaceae
Description: bacterial SSU rRNA
Rfam family: Eukaryotic small subunit ribosomal RNA
Source: RNAcentral
UUGGAGGGCAAGUCUGGUGCCAGCAGCCGCGGUAAUUCCAGCUCCAAUAGCGUAUAUUAAAGUUGUUGCAGUUAAAAAGCUCGUAGUCGAACUUUGGGCUCGGCCGGGUGGUCCGCUGCUUCGGUGGCGAGUACUGCCUUAUUCGCAGGCCGGGCCUUUCCUCCUGGGGAGCCGUGGCGCCGGGUUGCCUUCGGGCGGCCGGCCGCGGGGAGCCAGGACGUUUACCUUGAAAAAAUUAGAGUGUUCAACGCAGGCGCACGCUUGCAUAGAUUAGCAUGGAAUAAUGGAAUAGGACCUGUGGUUCUGUUUUGUUGGUUUCUGGAACCGCGGUAAUGAUUAAUAGGGAUAGUUGGG